Molecule: ribosomal RNA, 492 nt
Filed under: uncultured bacterium
Lineage: Bacteria
Description: partial 16S ribosomal RNA
Rfam family: Bacterial small subunit ribosomal RNA
Source: RNAcentral
AGUGAACGCUGGCGGUAGGCCUAACACAUGCAAGUCGAACGGCAGCACAGUAAGAGCUUGCUCUUACGGGUGGCGAGUGGCGGGCGGGUGAGGAAUACAUCGGCAUCUACUUUUUCGUGGGGGAUAACGUAGGGAAACUUACGCUAAUACCGCAUACGACCUACGGGUGAAAGCAGGGGAUCUUCGGACCUUGCGCGAUUGAAUGAGCCGAUGUCGGAUUAGCUAGUUGGCGGGGUAAAGGCCCACCAAGGCGACGAUCCGUAGCUGGUCUGAGAGGAUGAUCAGCCACACUGGAACUGAGACACGGUCCAGACUCCUACGGGAGGCAGCAGUGGGGAAUAUUGGACAAUGGGCGCAAGCCUGAUCCAGCCAUACCGCGUGGGUGAAGAAGGCCUUCGGGUUGUAAAGCCCUUUUGUUGGGAAAGAAAAGCAGCAGGUUAAUACCCCGCUGUUCUGACGGUACCCAAAGAAUAAGCACCGGCUAACUUCGUG